GUGACAUCAUCACAGGUCCUUUACUUUCUCCCGCAGCACAGAGGAGGAUACGCUCCAUCCAGGUUCCUACAAUAUAGGAUUCUCUCACUGGAUAUAUUGUAUAUGACAUCAAUCUCCUGAUUGACCCGUCAAGGAUGGAUAGGGACAGGGACAAGAUGGCGGAGAGUAUAAUCAAUCUCACCCUAGAGAUCCUCUUCCGGCUUACUGGAGAGGACUACACAGUAGUGAAGAAGACCUCUAGUGAGCGC
Molecule: long non-coding RNA, 248 nt
Organism: Bufo bufo (common toad)
Lineage: Eukaryota; Metazoa; Chordata; Amphibia; Anura; Bufonidae
Exons: 3
Source: RefSeq, a predicted model, not a curated record